CCCUUAGAUGUCCGGGGCCGCACGCGCGCUACACUGAAUAGCGUAACGAGUUUCUCUCCUGAUCCGCAAGGGUUGGGCAACCUGUUGAAACCUAUUCGUGACAGGGAUCGGGGCUUGUAAUUAUUCCCCGUGAACGAGGAAUUCCUAGUAAGCGCAAGUCAUAAACUUGCGUUGAUUACGUCCCUGCCUUUUGUACACACCGCCCGUCGCUACUACCGAUUGAGUGGUCCGGUGAGGCUUUGGGAUCUGAGCGGAAAGAGCGUUUCGCUGUUUCUGCCCGGAAAACUCAGUCGAACCUUAUCAUUUAGAGGAAGGAGAAGUCGUAACA
RNAcentral lists this ribosomal RNA (328 nucleotides) under uncultured eukaryote. RNAcentral describes it as "partial 18S ribosomal RNA". It matches the Rfam family "Eukaryotic small subunit ribosomal RNA", at positions 1470 to 1796 of the family's 1831-position model. The record is from RNAcentral.